AAUCAUCCACCCUGACUUUUGGUUAAUUCCUUAGGUCUUGGCUGGGACUUGGGCGCUUGCCUCUGAUAAAGCGGCUCGCCUUAAAUUGAUUUCGGAUUGACUCUGUCUGCAGUCGGUUUGACUUGGCGUUAUAAGUUAUUUCGCUAAGGACAUCUUCGGAUGGCCGAUCAAUGAUAGCUGUCUUGUGCUGCGUGUGUUACACACUUCCAGUGCGCUCCAUCUUUUGAC
RNAcentral lists this unclassified non-coding RNA (228 nucleotides) under uncultured Heterocephalacria. RNAcentral's name for it is "sequence contains ITS2". The record is from RNAcentral. Lineage: Eukaryota; Fungi; Basidiomycota; Tremellomycetes; Filobasidiales; Filobasidiaceae.